CGGGGUGAGUAAUGCCUAGGAAUCUGCCUGGUAGUGGGGGACGAACGUUUCGAAAGGAACGCUAAUACCGCAUACGUCCUACGGGAGAAAGCAGGGGACCUUCGGGCCUUGCGCUAUCAGAUGAGCCUAGGUCGGAUUAGCUAGUUGGUGAGGUAAUGGCUCACCAAGGCGACGAUCCGUAACUGGUCUGAGAGGAUGAUCAGUCACACUGNAACUGAGACACGGUCCAGACUCCUACGGGAGGCAGCAGUG
Molecule: ribosomal RNA, 252 nt
Filed under: uncultured Pseudomonas sp.
Lineage: Bacteria; Pseudomonadati; Pseudomonadota; Gammaproteobacteria; Pseudomonadales; Pseudomonadaceae
Description: partial 16S ribosomal RNA
Rfam family: Bacterial small subunit ribosomal RNA
Source: RNAcentral